AUUGAACGCUGGCGGCAGGCCUAACACAUGCAAGUCGAACGCGUGGCGGACGGGUGAGUAAUGUCUGGGAAACUGCCUACUGGAGGGGGAUAACUACUGGAAACGGUAGCUAAUACCGCAUACUAUCAGAUGUGCCCAGAUGGGAUUAGCUAGUUGGUGGGGUAAAGGCUCACCAAGGCGACGAUCCCUAGCUGGUCGGAGAGGAUGACCAGCCACACUGGAACUGAGACACGGUCCAGACUCCUACGGGAGGCAGCAGUGGGGAAUAUUGCACAAUGGGCGAAAGCCUGAUGCAGCCAUGCCGCGUGUAUGAAGAAGGCCUUCGGGUUGUAAAGUACUUUCAGCGGGGAGGCGUUACCCGCAGAAGAAGCACCGGCUAACUCCGUGCCAGCCGCCGCGGUAAUUC
This 406-nucleotide ribosomal RNA is filed under the name uncultured bacterium. RNAcentral describes it as "partial 16S ribosomal RNA". It matches the Rfam family "Bacterial small subunit ribosomal RNA", at positions 30 to 526 of the family's 1533-position model. The record is from RNAcentral.